UGGGGAAUCUUGCACAAUGGGGGAAACCCUGAUGCAGCGACGCCGCGUGAACGAUGAAGCCCUUCGGGGUGUAAAGUUCUUUCGACAGGAACGAUAAUGACGGUACCUGAGGAGAAAGCCCCGGCUAACUACGUGCCAGCAGCCGCGGUAAUACGUAGGGGGCAAGCGUUGUCCGGAUUUACUGGGUGUAAAGGGCGCGCAGGCGGGAUAAAAAGUCAGUGGUGAAAUCCUACAGCUUAACUGUAGAACUGCCUUUGAUACUUUUAUUCUUGAGUUCGGGAGAGAGAGACGGAAUUCCAGGUGUAGUGGUGAAAUACGUAGAUAUCUGGAAGAACACCAGUUGCGAAGGCGGUCUCUUGGUCCGACACUGACGCUGAGGCGCGAAAGCGUGGGGAGCAAAC
RNAcentral lists this ribosomal RNA (401 nucleotides) under uncultured bacterium. RNAcentral's name for it is "bacterial SSU rRNA". It matches the Rfam family "Bacterial small subunit ribosomal RNA", at positions 355 to 773 of the family's 1533-position model. The record is from RNAcentral.